This is a long non-coding RNA of Brassica napus (rape), 2166 nucleotides long. RefSeq lists it as uncharacterized. The record is from RefSeq and is a predicted model, not a curated record. NCBI's taxonomy places the organism in Eukaryota, Viridiplantae, Streptophyta, Magnoliopsida, Brassicales, Brassicaceae. The transcript has 3 exons.
UGAAUUUUAACUGGUUCGCAAGAAAACAGUAAAUACAGAACGACGUAAGAGAUAUGUAUUUAAAACAAUAUCGAAGAUCAUAGUAAAUGAUUUCUUCUGUAGAUCACAGUAAAUUACCAGAGAAGAGUAACAAAAGGACUUAUAUACGAUUAUAGUGGAUAUAUACGAUUAUAGUGGAUCACUUUUAAAUCUACGUCAACUUUUCACCAUUACUGAUUUCAUUAAAAUAGAAUUCAGAGUCCUUAAAAAAAUUCGGACUUACCAGAAUUCUCUCUUAUUUGUUUCUCGCUCCACAACAGUAAUAAACAGUAACAACAGUGUAAGGAGAAACCAAUCAUACGUCUAAAUAUGUAGUACGUAUCGAACGGUGUGAGUGGACAACUAUGUUAUGUAUCCUAAAUCUAUAUAAUAAAAAAAAGACAUAGGGCAAAGAACGUCUAGUUUCAUCAGGGAUGCUAUUCUGAUGAAGAGAAAUCAGAAACAUAAUGGGGAACCUAAUGCAACAAUGGCUUGUGCGUGAGCAAUCUCACUCGGUUUUUAAUAUCAAGGCUUGAACUUGUUUUUAUUCAUUUUGCCAAGGUAAAUCCUAGCCUAGUCUAAAUUAUUGUAACUUGUUACAAACUCUUUCCCCUUUUUUUUUAAUAGAAUUCACAUAUUUGGCACACACAAAAGAACGUCAAAUAAUUUUAUGUAUUGAUAGAUUUUAGAUUAGUAAUCAAACGUUCGGCCUUAAAAAUUAUGUUAUUUGCACUCUCUCGUGCAGGGGCGAUUUAAGUGGGGGAUAAACGUUGAGACUGCUUCGGAUUCGAUAUGAUGUCCCCCAUUUUUAUGUAGUUUCCAUAUAUAUAUAUAUAUUUCAUCAAUUUUUAUAAAAAAUUAUAUAUAUAUAUAUAUAUAUAUAUAUAUUUAGUAUUAUCAUAUUUUGAACAUCUAUGAAAACUUUAAAUAAAUAUUAGGUUUAAGGAUACAAAAAAAAAAUUGCACUAGGGCCAUCAAAUUCUUGAGCUGGCCCUGUCUUGUUGUGAUUAAGGCUAUUUUUUUUGGUGAAACAAUCAAGGCUAUUAAUGUUUUACAGUCGGUUUUAAACGCAAGUUGAUCCUAUGUUGAAAAUUGUAAUUUCAUAGAAGAACAAAUUCUUUUGUUUUUUUUUUUAAUUUCUUUUUCCCGUUCCUGGCCCUUUGAUGUGACUUUCCAUCAAUGAUUCAAUAUAUAAUGCGAGUUUGACGUCACACGUUUUUUUUUUGGAUAAAAAAAAUGCGAGUUUGACGUCACACGUUUUCCAUAAAGAUAUCGCUAACUAUUUUCAUCCCAAAGAGGUAAUUAAUCUUGCAAAACAGGUAGACAGUUCCAGAAAAGUGGACUAAGAAUAAUUUUCUAUUGUUGACAAGCAUAGAUUCGAAAAUCCGUAUAUACCAAAGGAACCCAAAUAAUUACAAUAUUAUUCCAAACUUCUUGAAACAAAAGGUUCAAUGAAAUUGGAGAAGAGAAAUCAUCUCGCUGCUCUAUGUACGUCUAUAAAUAGUGGCUUCAAGAAUCCUCAUCAUCAUCUCAUCACCAACCUUCUGGUACUUCUCUACCCCCAUACAUACAUGAUACAUCUAACAAUAUAGUUCUCCAAUAUAUACAAAGAUGUUGAGUUAUAACUACAAUGAUCACCAAAUUUGGUAUUUUUAUCAAGAUCUUGAUAGUCGCUAGAGAGUGUUGCCGCUGAAUAUAGUGACGCUGAAUAAAACAGCGUUCAUCGGAAUUGCCUUCGUCGUCAAACGCGGGUGUCACCGCCAUUUAUUCUCCGCAUCCUUAAGCCUCAAGAAACUUACAAUUAGGCAUUGUUUUGAAGGAUUGACGCUGACGCUGCGAUCCUUUACCGAACAGGGCUAAUGAUAUUUCAAAGCUCAAGUGUAAGCAAAUAACAAAGAAUGAAUGGAUGCAUUAAGCUCACAGGUCACUGGACAAUAAGGCGACACUUGAUCUAUAAGGUUAAGAGAAGUAAAGACAGGAGGUAACACCCAGACGUGAGAUGCUACAUUAGAGAUUAGUGAGUGAGAAGCAUCCUCUCUUGCUCGGUGAGUGAGUGACGGAAAUGGCAACGGUGACCAUAAGGACAGGUGGCUCCGGUGACGAUCAUACGGCACACUUCGGUUUUGUAGCGAGGGUGCCUUAUCACCG